Toxotes jaculatrix (banded archerfish) is the source of this 821-nucleotide long non-coding RNA. RefSeq lists it as uncharacterized. The record is from RefSeq and is a predicted model, not a curated record. Lineage: Eukaryota; Metazoa; Chordata; Actinopteri; Toxotidae. The transcript has 3 exons.
GACAGUGCGUCAUGACGAAAGCAGGAGGUCGUAGUGAAGAUGGCGGGUGUGGCGGUGUUAGCAGAGGUAAAGUUCAGAGAUGGACAGAGACAAAAAAUCUGCGUUCAAGUAGAAAAUAAUCUGACUUCUCUGAACCUAGGAAUAAACGAAUUGAGCACGAACGUCUCGCAGCUUCUCAGCGAGCUCGUGGAGCGGGAAAAAUCUCGCGGAGACUGCGCAGAAGGUGAUGAAGAUGAGGAGGAUAGCUCUGAAGAAGACGAGGAGCCAGAGGAUCCUCAAAACUCUCAAGUACAACCUCCAGCUAAAAAAUCCAAAACCUGAAACACCUGGUCUGUUUGACAUCACAGUCUCUGAAGACGAUGUCAUGUAAUCAGUUAUAUGGACGAGCAGAAACUAAAUGAAGCUGUUACAGGUGUGUCUCAGUUCAUGGUGGAGUCCUGAUCUCUGACUCUAUCACUGAAUCUAAAACCACUUUGAACCAGAGGCCUGUACUAUGAAGAACGUUCAACAUACCCAGGAUCUGUUCAGUGUUCAGCUCACAUCUGCCGUCCCCAACCAUGAAGCAGGUUCUCACCUGGUUCAGUUCCCUCUGGGUUCACCUGCUCUGCGCUCGGUCAUGUGACACAGGCUGAGCAUUAAUUACAGGCAACAUGAAUAAAGUCCUGAAUAUGAUGUGAGAAGAAACUGUGACACCUGCAGGUAAAUUGAGGUACAGUACAUCCACAGGUGAGAUUCAACCAGGAGAGAGGGAAACAACAUGAUCACAUGACCAGAACAGAAAAGAAACAGUGGAAGUAAUUCACAGCUCAUAAAGUCAGACG